CGAACGCUGGCGGCGUGCUUAACACAUGCAAGUCGAACGGAAAGGCCCUGCUUUUGUGGGGUGCUCGAGUGGCGAACGGGUGAGUAACACGUGAGUAACCUGCCCUUGACUUUGGGAUAACUUCAGGAAACUGGGGCUAAUACCGGAUAGGAGCUCCUGCUGCAUGGUGGGGGUUGGAAAGUUUCGGCGGUUGGGGAUGGACUCGCGGCUUAUCAGCUUGUUGGUGGGGUAGUGGCUUACCAAGGCUUUGACGGGUAGCCGGCCUGAGAGGGUGACCGGCCACAUUGGCACUGAGAUACGGCCCAGACUCCUACGGGAGGCAGCAGUGGGGAAUAUUGCACAAUGGGCGGAAGCCUGAUGCAGCAACGCCGCGUGCGGGAUGACGGCCUUCGGGUUGUAAACCGCUUUCGCCUGUGACGAAGCGUGAGUGACGGUAAUGGGUAAAGAAGCACCGGCUAACUACGUG
This 466-nucleotide ribosomal RNA is filed under the name uncultured bacterium. Its description in RNAcentral is "partial 16S ribosomal RNA". It matches the Rfam family "Bacterial small subunit ribosomal RNA", at positions 30 to 507 of the family's 1533-position model. The record is from RNAcentral.